UGGCAGGAUCCCACCUGCACCAAGCGCUGGGCACUAGGGCGGGGACGAGGGGUGCUCUCUGGGGGGGAAAGGGGGGUCGCUGGAAGUUGGCGGGGUGAGAACUGGAGGAACUAGUCAGAGACAUGCCCCUCCCCGCCCUCCCUCUCCACUCGCCCCCGGUUGAGGGCCUUGGCUUUUGCAUAAUGCAAUCAAUUACACAUCCCCGACGCCGGCCGGCCCGCUGGAAAUUUAUAUGCUCAGCACAAACCAAUGUGAAAAUGGAAUCUCAUUUGCCAAAUGUCUUCCUCCCGGUACAGCACGAUGAUUACAGUCUGUGU
RNAcentral lists this long non-coding RNA (317 nucleotides) under Ictidomys tridecemlineatus (thirteen-lined ground squirrel). Its description in RNAcentral is "lncRNA (ENSSTOG00000030631.1)". Lineage: Eukaryota; Metazoa; Chordata; Mammalia; Rodentia; Sciuridae. The record is from RNAcentral.